This 253-nucleotide ribosomal RNA is filed under the name uncultured bacterium. RNAcentral's name for it is "partial 16S ribosomal RNA". It matches the Rfam family "Bacterial small subunit ribosomal RNA", at positions 524 to 776 of the family's 1533-position model. The record is from RNAcentral.
UACGAAGGGGGCUAGCGUUGCUCGGAAUCACUGGGCGUAAAGGGUGCGUAGGCGGGUCUUUAAGUCAGGGGUGAAAUCCUGGAGCUCAACUCCAGAACUGCCUUUGAUACUGAGGAUCUUGAGUUCGGGAGAGGUGAGUGGAACUGCGAGUGUAGAGGUGAAAUUCGUAGAUAUUGGGAAGAACACCGGUGGCGAAGGCGGCCAACUGGACCACAACUGACGCUGAGGCGCGAAAGCGUGGGGAGCAAACAGG